GGACAUAGCUCAGUUUGGGAGAGCGCCUCGUUUGCACCGAGGAGAGAAGUCCCCUUGUGUCUA
RNAcentral lists this transfer RNA (63 nucleotides) under Chloroflexota bacterium. RNAcentral's name for it is "Chloroflexi bacterium tRNA-Ala". Lineage: Bacteria; Bacillati; Chloroflexota. The record is from RNAcentral.